CUUCCGCCGGCGACCGGCGCACGGGUGAGUAACACGUAUGCAACCUGCCCCUGUCAGGGGGACAACCCGCCGAAAGGCGGGCUAAACCCGCGUACAUGCCACCGGAGCAUCCCGGAGGCAGGAAAGGCUUCGGCCGGACAGGGAUGAGCAUGCGGCGCAUUAGGCAGUAGGCGGGGUAACGGCCCACCUAACCGACGAUGCGUAGGGGUUCUGAGAGGAAGGUCCCCCACACUGGUACUGAGACACGGACCAGACUCCUACGGGAGGCAGCAG
This 273-nucleotide ribosomal RNA is filed under the name uncultured bacterium. Its description in RNAcentral is "partial 16S ribosomal RNA". It matches the Rfam family "Bacterial small subunit ribosomal RNA", at positions 82 to 354 of the family's 1533-position model. The record is from RNAcentral.